RNAcentral lists this ribosomal RNA (462 nucleotides) under uncultured bacterium. RNAcentral describes it as "bacterial SSU rRNA". It matches the Rfam family "Bacterial small subunit ribosomal RNA", at positions 29 to 507 of the family's 1533-position model. The record is from RNAcentral.
AAUGAACGUUGGCGGCGUGGAUUAGGCAUGCAAGUCGAGCGAGAAGCUUUGGAAAGAUACUUCGGUUGAUUUCUAGAGUGGACAGCGGCGAAAGGGAGAGUAACGAGUAGAUAACGUACCCAGGGGUUCGGGAUAGCUGCGGGAAACUGCAGGUAAUACCGGAUAAUGUUUCCGAACCAAAGAUUUAUCGCCCUUGGAUCGGUCUGCUUACUAUUAGCUUGUUGGUGGGUAAAAGCCUACCAAGGCUAAGAUGGUUAGCGGGUGUGAGAGCAUGGCCCGUCUCACUGGGACUGAGACACUGCCCAGACGUCUACGGACGGCUGCAGUCGAGAAUCUUCCGCAAUGGACGAAAGUCUGACGGAGCGACGCCGCGUGCGGGAUGAAGGCCUUCGGGUUGUAAACCGCUGUCAGAGGGGAGCAAAUUUUGAGCGAUCCUCAGAGGAAGCACAGGCUAAGUUCGUG